RNAcentral lists this transfer RNA (68 nucleotides) under Marmota monax (woodchuck). RNAcentral's name for it is "tRNA.Thr". Lineage: Eukaryota; Metazoa; Chordata; Mammalia; Rodentia; Sciuridae. The record is from RNAcentral.
GUUGUGGCUCAGUGGUAGAGCACUUGCCUAGUAUGUGUAAAGCCCUGGGUUUGAUUCUCAGCAUGACA